AUAUCAGUCAUGCAUAGCAUAUCAAUAAGCGGAGGAAAAGAAACUAACAAGGAUUCCCUUAGUAACGGCGAGUGAAGCGGGAAGAGCUCAAAUUUGAAAUCUUCAAGGUUUUACCUUGACGAAUUGUAGUUUAAAGAAGUGUUUUCUGUUGAAGUUUUGGUAAAAGUUCUUUGGAAUAGGACAUCAUAGAGGGUGAGAAUCCCGUAUUUGACCAUUACUUUCAGCUUUGUGAUACACUUUCAAAGAGUCGGAUUGUUUGGGAAUGCAGUCCAAAAUGGGUGGUAAAUUUCAUCUAAAGCUAAAUAUUGGCGAGAGACCGAUAGCGAACAAGUACCGUGAGGGAAGAUGAAAAGAACUUUGAAAAGAGAGUUAAACAGUACGUGAAAUUGUCAAAAGGGAAGCGUUUGACACCAGUGUUGUUUUCUCGAAAAUCAAUUAAAAAGAGUUGGAUUUUGUGUUGUAUUGACUUUAUCAGCUUUCUUCACUCUUUUCCAGCUUUUUUUAAUGCACUUUUCGUUUAACAAGUCAACAUCAGUUUCUUUUGUUGUAAAAAGGUCAUUGGAAGGUGGCUUUCUCUUCGGAGAAAGUGUUUAUAGCCUUUGACUCAUGCAAUCGGAGAGACUGAGGUCUGCAGCGUAGAUCCUUCGGGGUUAGAUACAUUUGUGCUAAGUUAUAGCUUUUCAUAGACAACUUGUUGACUAUGUUUAGUCUUGUAGCUUACUCGCUUAUGCUAUUUUACCUACGCUUAGGAUGUUGAACUCUAUCACACACAG
This 773-nucleotide ribosomal RNA is filed under the name uncultured Neocallimastigales. RNAcentral's name for it is "partial large subunit ribosomal RNA". It matches the Rfam family "Eukaryotic large subunit ribosomal RNA", at positions 22 to 621 of the family's 3401-position model. Lineage: Eukaryota; Fungi; Neocallimastigomycota; Neocallimastigomycetes; Neocallimastigales. The record is from RNAcentral.